GAUCUAAGUCCUACUGUUCUUGCCUUGGUCGUGUCCAACAUCGUUCUGGGGAUAGUGACCCUUCUGCUUGUCUGGGCGCUUUACAAGACUCUGAACAGACAUCACAGAGGGAGGAGAGAUGGUCCAACAUCCCAGGGGAAUAAGAAUCAAGACAGUGACGUGUUGAACUAUGCUGCUGUGAGUUUCACCCCCAAGAAGAACUCCUCUUCCUCCUCUAGAACAGCAAGAGAGAAGACCAGCAUAGAGGAUGCAGUGUACUCUGAGGUCAGAUACCUUCAGCAGGAGUGAGAGAUACAGUAUCACCACUGUCACAAAGACUCCAAGAAGAACCAUUUUACUCCUUGUAAUAAAACUACUGUUAGUAACUGAAAUUAAUGUAAUUUUGACAAUGUCAAUGUGUUAGAUUUAUAUGAUGAUCCUGUAAUGCAUAAAAUAUUCCAACCUUUUACUUCUGCUUUUAACUAAUAUACAUUCUCUGA
Molecule: long non-coding RNA, 479 nt
Organism: Coregonus clupeaformis (lake whitefish)
Lineage: Eukaryota; Metazoa; Chordata; Actinopteri; Salmoniformes; Salmonidae
Exons: 3
Source: RefSeq, a predicted model, not a curated record